This 497-nucleotide ribosomal RNA is filed under the name uncultured bacterium. RNAcentral's name for it is "partial 16S ribosomal RNA". It matches the Rfam family "Bacterial small subunit ribosomal RNA", at positions 28 to 507 of the family's 1533-position model. The record is from RNAcentral.
GACGAACGCUGGCGGCGUGCCUAAUACAUGCAAGUCGAACGCUGAAGAGGGGAGCUUGCUCUUCUUGGAUGAGUUGCGAACGGGUGAGUAACGCGUAGGUAACCUGCCUUGUAGCGGGGGAUAACUAUUGGAAACGAUAGCUAAUACCGCAUAACAAUGGAUGACACAUGUCAUUUAUUUGAAAGGGGCAAUUGCUCCACUACAAGAUGGACCUGCGUUGUAUUAGCUAGUAGGUGAGGUAAUGGCUCACCUAGGCGACGAUACAUAGCCGACCUGAGAGGGUGAUCGGCCACACUGGGACUGAGACACGGCCCAGACUCCUACGGGAGGCAGCAGUAGGGAAUCUUCGGCAAUGGGGGCAACCCUGACCGAGCAACGCCGCGUGAGUGAAGAAGGGUUUCGGAUCGUAAAGCUCUGUUGUAAGUCAAGAACGGGUGUGAGAGUGGAAAGUUCACACUGUGACGGUAGCUUACCAGAAAGGGACGGCUAACUACGUG